RNAcentral lists this ribosomal RNA (473 nucleotides) under uncultured bacterium. Its description in RNAcentral is "bacterial SSU rRNA". It matches the Rfam family "Bacterial small subunit ribosomal RNA", at positions 29 to 506 of the family's 1533-position model. The record is from RNAcentral.
AUUAACGCUGGCGGUGUGUAUAAUACAUGCAAGUCGAGCGCUCCGAGCAAUCGGAGAGCGGCAAACGGGUGAGUAACACGUUGGAACCUUCCUUGAAGUGAGGGAUAACCUUGAGAAAUCGAGGCUAAUACCGCAUGUGGCCCGUAUUUUAAUGUUUUAAAUUUUUUAAAGUAUUAAAAUGCGGGUUAAAGCAGCAAUGCGCUUCAAGAGGGGCCUGCGUCCUAUCAGCUUGUUGGUGAGGUAACGGCUCACCAAGGCGAUGACGGGUAGCUGGUCUGAGAGGAUGAUCAGCCACAAUGGGACUGAGACACGGCCCAUACUCCUACGGGAGGCAGCAGUAAAGAAUCUUUCGCAAUGGCCGAAAGGCUGACGAAGCAACACCGCGUGAUUGAUGAAGAUCGUAAGAUCGUAAAAAUCUUUUCUGGGGGAAUAACUCUGAAGGUACCCCAGGAAUAAGCACCUGCUAACUCCGU